Molecule: transfer RNA, 84 nt
Filed under: Nevskiaceae bacterium
Lineage: Bacteria; Pseudomonadati; Pseudomonadota; Gammaproteobacteria; Nevskiales; Nevskiaceae
Description: Sinobacteraceae bacterium tRNA-Leu
Rfam family: tRNA
About the family: Transfer RNA (tRNA) molecules are approximately 80 nucleotides in length. Their secondary structure includes four short double-helical elements and three loops (D, anti-codon, and T loops).
Source: RNAcentral
GCGAGCGUGGCGGAAUUGGUAGACGCAGCAGAUUUAGGUUCUGCCGCCUUUGGCGUGGGGGUUCGAGUCCCUCCGUUCGCACCA